CCUACGGGAGACUGCAGUGGGGAAUAUUGCUCAAUGGGGGAAACCCUGAAGCAGCGACGCCGCGUGAAGGAUGAAGGCUUUCGGGUUGUAAAGCCCUUUUAGUAGAGAAGAAAAUGACGGUACCUGACCAAUAAGCCCCGGCUAACUACGUGCCAGCAGCCGCGGUAAUACGUAGGGGGCAAGCGUUAUCCGGAGUUACUGGGCGUAAAGGGGGCGUAGGCGGGUGAGCAAGUCAGAAGUGAAAUGCUUGGGCGUAACCACAGAACUGCAUUUGAAACUGUGAAACUAGAGUAUGGGAGAGGUAGGUGGAAUUCUUGGUGUAGGGGUGAAAUCCGUAGAGAUCAAGAGGAAUACUCAUUGCGAAGGCGACCUGCUAGAACAUAACUGACGCUGAGGCGCGAAAGCGUGGGGAGCAAACAGGAGUAGAUACCCGUGUAGUC
Molecule: ribosomal RNA, 440 nt
Filed under: uncultured bacterium
Lineage: Bacteria
Description: partial 16S ribosomal RNA
Rfam family: Bacterial small subunit ribosomal RNA
Source: RNAcentral